Molecule: signal recognition particle RNA, 260 nt
Filed under: Microcebus murinus (gray mouse lemur)
Lineage: Eukaryota; Metazoa; Chordata; Mammalia; Primates; Cheirogaleidae
Description: Metazoan signal recognition particle RNA (ENSMICG00000028216.2)
Rfam family: Metazoan signal recognition particle RNA
About the family: The signal recognition particle (SRP) is a universally conserved ribonucleoprotein. It is involved in the co-translational targeting of proteins to membranes. The eukaryotic SRP consists of a 300-nucleotide 7S RNA and six proteins: SRPs 72, 68, 54, 19, 14, and 9.
Source: RNAcentral
GCUGGACAUGGUGGUGCGCGCCUGUAGUCCCAGCUACUGGGGAGGCUGAGACGGGAGGAUCGCUUGAGCCCAGGCAUUCUGGGCUGUAGUGCACUAUGCCGGGUGUCCACACUAAGUUUGGCAUGAAUAUGGUGGCCUCCCGGAAGCGGGCAACCAACUGGUUGUCUAAGGAGGGGUGAACUGGCCCAGGUUGGAAACAGAGCAGGGCAAAACUCCAGUGCUCGGCCCUCUAGCCCACGCAACAGAGUGAGACUCUGUCA